RNAcentral lists this small RNA (74 nucleotides) under Xanthomonas populi. RNAcentral describes it as "sX9 sRNA". It matches the Rfam family "Xanthomonas sRNA sX9". The record is from RNAcentral. Lineage: Bacteria; Pseudomonadati; Pseudomonadota; Gammaproteobacteria; Lysobacterales; Lysobacteraceae.
AUCGACUCGUACACUCCGGUUCUGAGCGCGCCGUCCGCACCCACCUGACGACUGCUCGCUACGUUUUGUUAGCC